This 573-nucleotide ribosomal RNA is filed under the name uncultured phototrophic eukaryote. Its description in RNAcentral is "bacterial SSU rRNA". It matches the Rfam family "Bacterial small subunit ribosomal RNA", at positions 56 to 671 of the family's 1533-position model. The record is from RNAcentral.
UGCAAGUCGUACGAGAGUUUUUAACUCAAGUGGCGGACGGGUGAGUAACACGUAAGAAUUUGCCUCUAGGAGGGGGAUAACAACUGGAAACGGUUGCUAAUACCCCAUAUGCUUUCGAGUGAAAUGGAUUUCCGCCUAGAGAGAAGCUUGCGGCUGAUUAGCUUGUUGGUGAGGUAAUGGCUCACCAAGGCGACGAUCAGUAUCUGGUUUGAGAGGACGAUCAGACACACUGGAACUGAGACACGGUCCAGACUCCUACGGGAGGCAGCAGUGGGGAAUUUUCCGCAAUGGGCGAAAGCCUGACGGAGCAAUACCGCGUGAGGGAUGACGGCCUAUGGGUUGUAAACCUCUUUUUUCAGGGAGGAAUCAAUGACGUGUACCUGAAGAAUAAGCAUCGGCUAACUCCGUGCCAGCAGCCGCGGUAAGACGGAGGAUGCAAGUGUUAUCCGGAAUCACUGGGCGUAAAGCGUCUGUAGGUGGUUUAAUAAGUCAACUGUUAAAUCUUGAGGCUCAACCUCAAAAUCGCAGUCGAAACUAUUAGACUAGAGUAUAGUAGGGGUAAAGGGAAUUUCC